RNAcentral lists this ribosomal RNA (398 nucleotides) under uncultured bacterium. Its description in RNAcentral is "bacterial SSU rRNA". It matches the Rfam family "Bacterial small subunit ribosomal RNA", at positions 358 to 773 of the family's 1533-position model. The record is from RNAcentral.
GGAAUAUUGGACAAUGGAGGCAACUCUGAUCCAGCCAUGCCGCGUGAGUGAAGAAGGCCUUAGGGUUGUAAAGCUCUUUCGGUGGUGACGAUGAUGAAGGUAGCAACAGAAGAAGCCCCGGCUAACUCCGUGCCAGCAGCAGCGGUAAUACGGAGGGGGCAAGCGUUGUUCGGAAUUACUGGGCGUAAAGGGCGCGUAGGCGGGCGAUCAAGUCAGAGGUGAAAGCCCUGGGCUCAACCCGGGAGGUGCCUUUGAAACUGAUGGUCUGGAGUUCGGGAGAGGAUGGCGGAAUUCCCAGUGUAGAGGUGAAAUUCGAAGAUAUUGGGAAGAACACCGGUGGCGAAGGCGGCCAUCUGGCCCGGAACUGACGCUGAGGCGCGAAAGCGUGGGGAGCAAAC